UCCUGGCUCAGGACGAACGCUGGCGGCGUGCUUAACACAUGCAAGUCGAACGGAAAGGCCUCUUCGGAGGUACUCGAGUGGCGAACGGGUGAGUAACACGUGGGCAAUCUGCCCUGCACUUCGGGAUAAGCCUGGGAAACUGGGUCUAAUACCGGAUAGGACCUUUAGACGCAUGUCUUUUGGUGGAAAGCUUUUGCGGUGUGGGAUGGGCCCGCGGCCUAUCAGCUUGUUGGUGGGGUGAUGGCCUACCAAGGCGACGACGGGUAGCCGGCCUGAGAGGGUGUCC
RNAcentral lists this ribosomal RNA (286 nucleotides) under Mycobacterium avium complex sp. RNAcentral's name for it is "partial 16S ribosomal RNA". It matches the Rfam family "Bacterial small subunit ribosomal RNA", at positions 17 to 305 of the family's 1533-position model. Lineage: Bacteria; Bacillati; Actinomycetota; Actinomycetes; Mycobacteriales; Mycobacteriaceae. The record is from RNAcentral.